AUAUAUAAAUUUUAUAAUUUAAAAAAUUUAUUUUAAAUUUAUUUUACAUAUAAAUUUUAGUGUUAAUUAUUCUUUAUUUAAAUAAUUAAGAAAUGUUUUAUAUAGUAAUUAAUAUUAAAAAUUUAAGAAAUUAAGAUUUAGUAAUAUGGGAAUUAAUAACAAAUUUUGUGCCAGCAGUUGCGGUUAUACAAAAGUUAAAUUAAAUUUUAUUGGUAAUUAAUUAAUGAAUUUAGAUUAUAAGUAAAAUUUUAAAUUAUUAGGUGAAAUUUUAAUUUAAUUAAAACUUAUUAAAAUUUAUGAUUUAAUAAUUUUUAUAAUAAACUAGGAUUAGAUACCCUAUUAUUGAUUUUUAAAUUAAAAAUACUAAAAUAGUAAAUGAUUUAAAAAUUGAAACUUAAAUAAUUUGGCGGUAUUUUAGUUUAUUUAGAGGAAUCUGUUUAAUAAUUGAUAGUCCACGAAUAAAUUUACUUAAUUUUUAAUUUUGUAUAUCGUUGUUAUAAAAAUAUUUUUUAAUAAAAAUAAUAUUUUAAAAUUUUUAUUUGAGAUUAAAUCAAAUCAAGAUGCAGAUUAUAAUUAAGAAUAUAAUGGAUUACAAUAAGUUUAAUUUAAAUGAAUAUUAUUUUUUAAUAAUUAAAUUGAAGGUGGAUUUAAAUGUAAUUUUAUUUAGUUUAAUGAAAUGAUUUAAAAUUAAAAUAUGUACAUAUUGCCCGUCGCUUUCAUAUAUUUAAAUUGGGAUAAGUCGUAACAAAGUAGAGGUACUGGAAAGUGUUUCUAGAAAGUU
Molecule: non-coding RNA, 781 nt
Filed under: Thaumetopoea pityocampa (pine processionary moth)
Lineage: Eukaryota; Metazoa; Arthropoda; Insecta; Lepidoptera; Notodontidae
Source: RNAcentral